Non-coding RNA from Mycena galericulata, 99 nucleotides. Lineage: Eukaryota; Fungi; Basidiomycota; Agaricomycetes; Agaricales; Mycenaceae. The record is from the annotation of a GenBank genome assembly.
GUCUUUGUGGAGUAAUGAAACUCACUCCCGAGCAGUGGAUCCUUCCAAACGUAUGGCAUAAUUCCGGGAGAGUCGGUGGUUCGAACCCACUCAAAGACA